This 442-nucleotide ribosomal RNA is filed under the name uncultured bacterium. RNAcentral describes it as "bacterial SSU rRNA". It matches the Rfam family "Bacterial small subunit ribosomal RNA", at positions 339 to 796 of the family's 1533-position model. The record is from RNAcentral.
CUACGGGAGGCAGCAGCAAGGAAUUUUCCGCAAUGGGCGCAAGCCUGACGGAGCAACGCCGCGUGGGGGAUGACGCCUUUCGGGGUGUAAACCCCUUUUCCGGGGGACGAAGCACUGACGGUACCCUGGGAAGAAGGACCGGCUAACUACGUGCCAGCAGCCGCGGUAAUACGUAGGGUCCGAGCGCUGUCCGGAGUUACUGGGCGUAAAGCGCGCGCGGGCGGCUCGUCAAGCCUGGCGUGAAAGCCCCCGGCUCAACCGGGGAGGGUCGUCGGGGACUGGCGGGCUUGAGGCUGGCAGGGGUCGGUGGAAUGCCCGGUGUAGUGGUGAAAUGCGUAGAGAUCGGGCGGAACACCCGUGGCGAAAGCGGCCGACUGGGCCAGGCCUGACGCUGAGGCGCGAAGGCGUGGGGAGCGAACGGGAUUAGAAACCCCAGUAGUCC